UACGAAGGGGGCUAGCGUUGCUCGGAAUCACUGGGCGUAAAGCGCACGUAGGCGGCUUUUUAAGUCAGGGGUGAAAUCCUGGAGCUCAACUCCAGAACUGCCUUUGAUACUGAGAAGCUUGAGUCCGGGAGAGGUGAGUGGAACUGCGAGUGUAGAGGUGAAAUUCGUAGAUAUUCGCAAGAACACCAGUGGCGAAGGCGGCUUACCGGUCCGGUUCUGACGCUGAGGCGCGAAAAGCUAGGGUAGCAAACGGG
RNAcentral lists this ribosomal RNA (254 nucleotides) under uncultured bacterium. RNAcentral's name for it is "partial 16S ribosomal RNA". It matches the Rfam family "Bacterial small subunit ribosomal RNA", at positions 524 to 776 of the family's 1533-position model. The record is from RNAcentral.